This 1121-nucleotide ribosomal RNA is filed under the name Agrococcus sp. LZB059. RNAcentral's name for it is "bacterial SSU rRNA". It matches the Rfam family "Bacterial small subunit ribosomal RNA", at positions 42 to 1175 of the family's 1533-position model. The record is from RNAcentral. Lineage: Bacteria; Bacillati; Actinomycetota; Actinomycetes; Micrococcales; Microbacteriaceae.
GCUAGCAGCUACCAUGCAGUCGACGAUGAAGGAGGAGCUUGCUCCUCUGGAUUAGUGGCGAACGGGUGAGUAAUACGUGAGCAAUGUGCCCUUGACUCUGGGAUAAGCGCUGGAAACGGCGUCUAAUACCGGAUACGACCCUCGGAGGCAUCUCCUGAUGGUGGAAAGAACUUCGGUCAAGGAUCAGCUCACGGCCUAUCAGCUAGUUGGUGAGGUAACGGCUCACCAAGGCGACGACGGGUAGCCGGCCUGAGAGGGUGACCGGCCACACUGGGACUGAGACACGGCCCAGACUCCUACGGGAGGCAGCAGUGGGGAAUAUUGCACAAUGGGCGCAAGCCUGAUGCAGCAACGCCGCGUGAGGGACGAAGGCCUUCGGGUUGUAAACCUCUUUUAGCAGGGAAGAAGCGAAAGUGACGGUACCUGCAGAAAAAGCACCGGCUAACUACGUGCCAGCAGCCGCGGUAAUACGUAGGGUGCAAGCGUUGUCCGGAAUUAUUGGGCGUAAAGAGCUCGUAGGCGGUUUGUCGCGUCUGCUGUGAAAACCCGAGGCUCAACCUCGGGCUUGCAGUGGGUACGGGCAGACUAGAGUGCGGUAGGGGAGAUUGGAAUUCCUGGUGUAGCGGUGGAAUGCGCAGAUAUCAGGAGGAACACCGAUGGCGAAGGCAGAUCUCUGGGCCGUAACUGACGCUGAGGAGCGAAAGCAUGGGGAGCAAACAGGCUUAGAUACCCUGGUAGUCCAUGCCGUAAACGUUGGGAACUAGAUGUGGGGACCAUUCCACGGUCUCCGUGUCGUAGCUAACGCAUUAAGUUCCCCGCCUGGGGAGUACGGCCGCAAGGCUAAAACUCAAAGGAAUUGACGGGGGCCCGCACAAGCGGCGGAGCAUGCGGAUUAAUUCGAUGCAACGCGAAGAACCUUACCAAGGCUUGACAUAUACCGGAAACGGCCAGAGAUGGUCGCCCCGCAAGGUCGGUAUACAGGUGGUGCAUGGGUUGUCGUCAGCUCGUGUCGUGAGAUGUUGGGUUAAGUCCCGCAACGAGCGCAACCCUCGUCCUAUGUUGCCAGCACGUAAUGGUGGGAACUCAUGGGAUACUGCCCGGGGUCAACUCGGAGGAAGUGG